RNAcentral lists this long non-coding RNA (1011 nucleotides) under Medicago truncatula (barrel medic). RNAcentral's name for it is "long non-coding RNA (MTRU_LNC006383)". The record is from RNAcentral. Lineage: Eukaryota; Viridiplantae; Streptophyta; Magnoliopsida; Fabales; Fabaceae.
AAUAUAAAUCAGAGUAAAUUCAAAUAUACAUGUUAUGAAUAAAUAAAUUACAUCAACAUAGAUGCAUCUCAAAAAUCCCAACAAACGGGUAAUCUCCAAACAUAACAAAAACCAAAGUAAAAGAUAAUCUAGACUGACACAACUAAGCCUAGAUCAGAGCCGACUAAACAUCUAAACACCGAUAUCGGAGAAAGCUCCAGAUAUCCACCAAGCACAAGAACUCACCAAGCAUCUAAUCCUGCACAACGUCUACCCAUCCAUACAGAUAGGCAGGCGGUCCAUAACAGAUCCACUGGGGGUAAGUAUUACAUUAUCAUAAUCCAAAUAACAGUUAACCUGAAUAUUUCAAUUUAAACAUCAUGCAAUUGAUCAAUAAUAAUUACACAUUAAUACUUACAUCACACCCCGAUAUCUCACAUCAAUAUUCGUCAAUCAUAUGAACAAUUAUCAAUUUACAAUUAUUCAUUCACAAUCACCAAUCACGUUUAUCAUGAAUAAUCAUUAAUCACAUUUCAUGAACAAUCGCCAAUUACUUGUAUCAUAAAUAAAUAUCAAUUCACAGUUAUUCAUACACGAUCACCAAUCAUAUACGUCAUGAACAAUCAUUUAUCAUAUACAUCAUGAACAAUCACCGAUCAUAUACAUCAUGAACAAUCACCAAUCAAAAGUCAUGAACAAUCAUUAUCUCCACAACAUUGCAUUAUCAAGAAAACAUGCCCACACAAAUAAAUCAUAGUAUUCACCAUCACACAUCAACAUGAUUAUCAAUAAUCAACAAUGUCAUUCAACAUCAACUAUAUCAUAUAGUUUCACCAUUCCAAACAAUUCUCAUAUCCCAAGUAAGAGAACAUACAACAUCUCAUGACAAAUAUCAUAUCCAACAUAUACCCAUUCAACAUCAACUAUCACAUAUAGUUUCACCAUUCAAGCAUUCCUUACAUUCUAAGUAAGAUAGCAUACACAUCUCAUGAUAAACAUCAUAUCCAAAGUAUAAUCACUCAUUCAUACAAC